Molecule: ribosomal RNA, 614 nt
Filed under: uncultured bacterium
Lineage: Bacteria
Description: bacterial SSU rRNA
Rfam family: Bacterial small subunit ribosomal RNA
Source: RNAcentral
CGCUGGCGGCGUGCUUACACAUGCAAGUCGAGCGGAAAGGCCCUUCGGGGUACUCGAGCGGCGAACGGGUGAGUAACACGUGAGCAAUCUGCCCCUAGCUCUGGGAUAGCUCCGGGAAACCGGAAUUAAUACCGGAUAUGACUGCUUUUGACAUCUUUUGUGGUGGAAAGGGUUUCCGGCUGGGGAUGAGCUCGCGGCCUAUCAGCUUGUUGGUGGGGUAACGGCCUACCAAGGCGACGACGGGUAGCCGGCCUGAGAGGGCGACCGGCCACACUGGGACUGAGACACGGCCCAGACUCCUACGGGAGGCAGCAGUGGGGAAUAUUGCGCAAUGGGCGGAAGCCUGACGCAGCGACGCCGCGUGGGGGAUGACGGCCUUCGGGUUGUAAACCCCUUUCAGCAGGGACGAAGCGCAAGUGACGGUACCUGCAGAAGAAGCGCCGGCUAACUACGUGCCAGCAGCCGCGGUAACACGUAGGGCGCAAGCGUUGUCCGGAAUUAUUGGGCGUAAAGAGCUCGUANGCGGUUUGUUGCGUCUGCCGUGAAAUCUCGGGGCUUAACCCCGGGCCUGCAGUGGAUACGGGCAGACUAAAGGCAGGCAGGGGAGAAUGGAA